Molecule: long non-coding RNA, 225 nt
Organism: Arabidopsis thaliana (thale cress)
Lineage: Eukaryota; Viridiplantae; Streptophyta; Magnoliopsida; Brassicales; Brassicaceae
Product: other RNA
Exons: 2
Source: RefSeq
UUAUUGUCUUGAGGUGGAAUGGUGAGAAGUAUUAUGGUGACGUGGAACUAAGUUCUGGUAGAAAGACAUCGAAUUUCAAAUUAGAAGAUCAAACGAAUGAUGUUGUUUCGGAUAAUCAAUUCAAAGGCUUAUGGAGCUAUAUGAUUAGGACGAGAAGGAAUACAAGAGUACGAAAACGAUGAAUGUGAAGAGAAAUACGAAAAUGUAUGUAUUGGCUGCUAAUUG